Dicentrarchus labrax (European seabass) is the source of this 4605-nucleotide long non-coding RNA. RefSeq lists it as uncharacterized. NCBI's taxonomy places the organism in Eukaryota, Metazoa, Chordata, Actinopteri, Moronidae. The transcript is spliced from 2 exons. The record is from RefSeq and is a predicted model, not a curated record.
ACACAUCCAGACCAACGUAGAGAGGACACAGGAUUAUGUGGCUGCCUCUAAUGAGAAGUUCAAGUUGGCCGCCAGAUACAAGAGGAAAAACCCACUUCGACAGCUGUGCUGCUGCUGCUGCCCUCCCUGGAGAUGCUGCUUAUAAAACAUAUGCAUUAUACCUCAAUGGUCAUUCCAAAUAAGGUUUUUAUUUCAAAAGUCUUACUUACCUGUUUGGGGACAAGCAAUGUUGGAUUCAAGUACCAUUAAAGUGAAGGUUAUGGUACUGUGGUUUUUGCUGUUGAACAGAACGACGGUGAAGACAGAUUCAGCAGAGCAUAGAAAACAAUUAGGGGGAAAGGCCAGAAUUGGUAUUUGAGGCACUUGUUUCUUUCAAGUGGAUGUGAGGCGACUGCUAUUGGAAGAGACAGUUCAGUGAGUGCUACUCACCAACACUGCUGCUUAUUGGAGACCUUCACUGUCAUCUGACAGAGGUCACAAACAAGGGGAGACCACUGCCUUUGCCACUGCCACUGCCAGAUCAGCAAGACUGAUAUUUCACCAUUUUUUUAUUUUAUUUUAUUUUUUUCAAAAGAGCCUCUCAUAUUCUUUCUGCCUCAGGAGCUCUAGUUAAUGACCAUUUAUUUUUUAUACAGUAUGUGCACUUUAAGACUUCUCCAUCUUUUUUCUCUCUAUUCUUUUCAGCACAAACGUAUGUUAGAACUUAACAUAGUGGAGAAAGAUUUUCAGCCAUUAUGUAUUCAUUUCAUUUUUGGUCCGCAUGCUGAUGAAAAAAAAAAACUUGUUUUACAAUUAGUCAUUAGUCUCAUUUGCAUUUCAAAGUAUGAUCCUUUUCGGUGAAAAAAAUAUUAUUGCUUCAUUCGGUUUCACAGAGACAAGGAUUCAAGUAAAACUUUGAAUAACGAGUCAUGAUCAAACUAUUUUUUGUCACGGUGACAGCUGCAGAAAAUCAUUGAAGUUAUUUGUUUAAAAGUCAAAAAGAAAGAACAUUUUAUGUCCUACAUUUCAGGAAAUAUUUAAAGAAUUAAUUUAUAUUUUGGAGUGGAAAUUCAAUGUAUUGAAACUGUUACAUUUCAGAUGAAAAGCUCUGGCAUUCACGUGUAUCAUUAUUAUUAAAAUACCUGUCACAUAAAAAGGGAGCAGUGGCUCUAAAUCUGGCGAAAAGCUCUCGUCUGAGGGAGUACCAGCACUAUGGAAUAAAAUACGUUGUAUGGCAAUAUGUUGUAUUACUGAUCAACAUACUUACACCAGUUGACAGGUAAUCAUCUCCCGUUUCACCUUGUACUUAAUGUCGAGUCGAAAAUACCAGCUCAUUUUCCCUGCUGGGAUAAUGACUAAGAUGUAGGCUAAUAAGUCAGUAAUUCAUCUGAGGAGAUACAGUCACCCGCUUAUUGGCAGAAAGGCUCUAUACUAGCUUCUCAUCAGUACUCACAGUGAUGGUCUUUAGUGACUCAGUGACCCAUGGUGUCUGGUGUCCGGGACAAAAUACAGGUGAACUGGGCGUGCCAGAGCCAGACUGGAAAAUCUGGUUUGUCUGCCGUUCCAGGGUAGCUCCCAGACAGCUACUGUGUGUACAGUGUGUAAACAGAACCGUUACCUUAUCGCAUAUGGUAAGAAGACCCACCAUGGUUAAAUAGUCUUCUUUUUCAAUAAAAUGACUGCCAGGCCCACAAAAAAUGUAAAACAUAUUGAGCAUUUUAACUUCAGCUUGACAGACAACCAUAAGAAUGCCCCAAAAUGCCGUUUUUGUAAGUCAGUUUAGUCGCCUCUCCAGGGAUUGAUAAGUCAUAGGAUCCUAAAGAAACACACCUGUCAAUGCGGUGCUUUACUUAGGUUAACUAUCAUAUACACUGUUCCCUCAGGUCUCGUAGAGGAACGAGGUGUGAUGUGAGAGGUGAUGAGUUGCGCUAUCUGACUGGAAAAGUCUUUCCCUGAAUCUGUGUUAUAAAUCAGUCUCACUCUGAUUAGAAUUAUAUUUUGAAACAAAGACAUAAAUAUAUCAAAUAUGUAAAUUUGAAUAUGUAAAUCAAAUAGCAAUAUACUGUAAUUCAGCACAGCAUAGUUUCUGCCUCCUCCCAGACACAGUGAAGAAAAAUGAAGUGCCGCUGCAAAUUGCAGGGUUCUUGAACAGCAACAAUGCCAUCCAGUGUUCAGUGAGAUAAUUGCCAGUUAAGCAAUAGGUUAUCACUUGAUGUUUAAACCGUUAAAGGCCAUAUUACCACAUAAAUAUGUAAUUAUGGAAGUGUCAUACUUGGAAAACAUAACUACACAGUGUGGAUUUCACUCCCAAAAGUUCUUAGAAUGAAAAUAGAGAUAUUGUUGUUGAGCCAUUAACAGCUCAUGGAGGUCUUUACUCAAAGCAAAAAGAAAGAAAAGAAGAAUACAUUUUUAUUUUGAUCUGUUACACAGUACACACUGUUUACUGCUCCAUAGACAAUGAAAAUAUAUUUUUCUCCUCCACAAAAGUGAGACAAUCUCUCUCUCUCUCUCUCUCUCUCUCUCUCUCUCUCUCUCUCUCUCUCUCUCUCUCUUUCUCUCUCUCUUCUCUCUCUCUCUCUCUCUCUCUCUCUCUCUCUCUCUCUCUCUCUCUCUCUCUCUCUCUCUCUCUCUCUCUCUCUCUCUCUCUCUCUCUCUCUCUCUCUCUCUCAUAAAUGAAUAUAGAGCGAGGUCUGACAUGCAGCAUAUUCAUAGCCACCAUCACAAAGACACCUGGGAAUAAAUGGACAUGGGAAAGCUAUAAGAUUAAAUUAAGUUGAAUUUCUCCAAAUACACUAACAGCAGAGCAGCAGGGAUCUAUGAGAGUGUGCAGUCCUGAAAGAAACCUUCUGGGGUUUAUAUUGGUCGUCCUUGAGAACACCAGGCCAUGGGAGACUGCACAGUGGUCAGCUCAGAUACCUCUGGACAUCUGACCCCCAGGCACGUCAGCCAGAGUCACCCCGAGCAGGUCAGCCAGAGUCACUGGCAAUUUUCCCAAAACUCUCUCUCUCUCAGUGUAAGGCAGAGUUCCGCUGUGGAUUCAUCUUGUUUACCCCCAGCUCCGAAGUUGUUAUCCAGUAUUUCAUCUGAAACCACCUAGCCGGGAGCUAUCAGGAGUAUGUUCCUGUUCCUCGCUGAAUCAGAUUUAACCUUCGACUCUGAGACCAUCUUUGUGUUUUGACUAGCUGCACUAACCAACUCUGCACAUACAGAACACCUGUUCCAAGAUGCGAUGACCUGAAGGCAACAAGGCAUUCUAAUUUACUUUGCACUGAAACUUGGCCAUAUUUCUUACAGGUUUUGGAUGAUAUUUUGUUUUUUCUCACCUUGGCCAACUUUAUGCCUUCUUUCUUGACUUCUGAAUUAUAUUAAUGUGGUAUUUCAUGUAUUUCUGAAUUUCUGAAACACAUAUCAUUAAUCACUCAUCAUUGUGUGGUUGUGUACUGAACUUCUGAAAAGGGUAAAUGAAUGUAACAGGCUCUGGAUUUGUAGAUUUGUAGAGCAUAACAGACAAUGUUACCUUUAUUUCCAUCCAUCUAUCUUAAUAUAAAAGCUGCUCAUAUCAAUACAGUCGUGCUGAUGCAGGUUAGGUAAUAAGGGAAGAUUACUGUAAUGCAGUGUUGAAUUACGGCUUUUUAUUAGGUAAGUAACUCAUGCAAUUUUCAUUUUUGUACAUGUACUUACAGCAACCACAUAUUCAUAGUGAGUGCCUCUGCCCACUUUCCAGACGAAGCCCAUCAAUCAUCUCUGAUUUAACGAUAAUGUGAAUAUCUGAGACACGUGAGAGUUUAUCACGCUGAUCAUGGCUGACAGAAGAAAUACCUCCAGUACGUAGUCACACACAGACGUCACUGUAUCUCUAUCUGCCCUGUCAGUCACAACCUAGAUCCCAAAGUCUCUCUCCAAAUGUCUGAACAACAUCAAAGCAGCCCUCCUGUGAGUAACACCAGCUGUGGUUAUAGAGAGCUGACAUUACUUUACUGCCUGUUUUUAUCACUCCCAUCAAAAUCUGAACAGAGAGAUAUCAGGACCCUCAGAAAGUGAUAAAUCAAAGAAAUAGUACAGUGAGUCUGGCAACGGCAGUAGUAGGAAGAAUACCGACAAUAAUCCAAUGGUUACACUGAUUUAGUAACUUGCUACACUUGACCAGGUGAUUUUAAACAAACCACCUCCAUACAGCAGGUACAGUGCUGCUGGAGCACACCGGAACAACACAACAGCACAACGUUUUUUCACCAAGUGAGAAAAAUACAGUAUUUGCAGUUGCCAUAAUCGAGGUGAAAUUCAGAACCAAUAAAAUGGUCGAAGUUGACAUUUAAGUUAUUCAUUCAUGACGUCAACUCGUGCUUUGAGUGACAGGCAAGAAGAGUGGCCAGUAGUCUGUAACUAGCCAACAUCAACUAGUAUAGAGGAAAAGGCACUAAAACAUCUUUUCAUUCAUCAUUCACUCUUCUGACAGUUUAUUUGUGAUGCAUUUGCAAAGAAACAUUACAAAACUAGACAGUUAAACAAUACGCCUCGCCUAUUAGAUGAUCUUUAUUUGUCUGCACUACAAUUUUACCUCAAUGGAUGUUCUGAAUGCAGCAUCAUUUGCUUGGCACGAGUAAAUUAAAUCAUUCAAAAGACAAA